GGUGUUUGAACAGUGUACUGGCCUCCCGAAGAGUAGACUCUCUGCAGUGAGAGUGCUGUGCUCUCAGUGUCGGACCCACCUUGAAAUUAAUUUUUGAAAGAAUGAUGUUGAACGGUACAAUAAAUUGAUAAAAGCCUUCCAUGAUGAAAAAGUAUGACAAUUGACCUUUUGAAGGAACAACGAUCCAGAACAACAUUCUGUUGUUGCUUGGAAUGAGACAUGUCUAGUACGACGUUGCUCCAGCCAAGGUCAGAGAUGUUGCUGCCUGUUUUCUCCUGUAGAAUGUUGAUGGUCUAGGGGUGCCUGGGUGGCUCAAUCGGU
Long non-coding RNA from Hyaena hyaena (striped hyena), 321 nucleotides. RefSeq lists it as uncharacterized. The record is from RefSeq and is a predicted model, not a curated record. The transcript has 3 exons. Lineage: Eukaryota; Metazoa; Chordata; Mammalia; Carnivora; Hyaenidae.